UCGUAGCUCAGUUGGAUAGAGCAACAGCCUUCUAAGCUGUGGGUCGUGGGUUCGAACCCCGCCGA
This 65-nucleotide transfer RNA is filed under the name uncultured Alistipes sp. It matches the Rfam family "tRNA", at positions 5 to 66 of the family's 71-position model. Rfam says of the family: Transfer RNA (tRNA) molecules are approximately 80 nucleotides in length. Their secondary structure includes four short double-helical elements and three loops (D, anti-codon, and T loops). The record is from RNAcentral. Lineage: Bacteria; Pseudomonadati; Bacteroidota; Bacteroidia; Bacteroidales; Rikenellaceae.